CCCAAAGUGCUGGGAUUACAGGUGUGAGCCACCACAUCUGGCUGGGAGUUAAGUAUUUUACCAUCUGUUUUCUUUCAGAAAUUGGGUUGGUAACAUUGAAGAGACACUUCUCACCUGCCUGAAAUGCCCUACGUUAUCUUCUUCAAGUUGUAAGGGCUCUGGAACAGCCCUUGCAGUGCUCCCACAAAGAGAGGAAGAAAAUAACAGGGAUCUUCAUGGAGAAAUGACCCACGCGAGGGCCUGGACUCUCCAGCAGUUACAGCAGAAGAAAGUUUUUGAAGAAGAGUAGAGGAACUGAGAGCCCCGGCCAGGAAAGCAGGGUUGUGUGAAACGCUAUUUGAUCCUAUGUGCUCCCUGCCCCAAUCUAGCAGCUAGUGAAUGACAGCUGACCAAGUAUAAAUGCCAGGACUAUAGAACUGUGAUAAAGGGUUUGUCCAAGGAAAGGGGCUUUUACUAUUUUUGUUUUCACAGAGGAAAUGGCUAUUUUUCAUCUAAAGUUUCUGAAAGGCAGCAGGGAGCUUCUGGAGGGUGAGUUACCUGCUCUGCACAGGGAGGCUGAGGCCAAGGCUUGUGUGGUGGAUCUGCUGCCACCAAGUGGUGAGGGAGGGAGCCUGGGAGAGUCUCAGUCUUUCUGGGCUUCAGUUUCCUCAUCGGUAAGGUAGGGGCUUAUUGUACCUCUCUGAGGUCCCUUCCUGCUCUGUUUUCUCUGAGUCUCUGAGGAAUUGAGAUGGUUUUCAAUGCUGCCUGGGACCUUCAGCUGAGACCUGACUCUGUGUGUCUCCUGCAGGAGCCUGAGCCGAGUCUACACGCUGGAAUCCCAGAGCUGCGGGAACAGGUGGAAGAAAGAAAGUCAGCAGGUUUAGGGGAUGAGAAUAAUCCACAAAGGACAAGCCAUUGGGAGCCUUGGGAGGAGCCUGAAUCACUGAUGGAAUUGGACAGUGCAUGGAGAUGAUUGAGCAGGACAAGGUCCCUGGCUCUACCUGUGGUGCCCCAAAUGUCAGCAUGGUGGCAUCUGGCAGGACUUGUUCCAUGAAAACCACAGAGGGGAACUUUCCAGAUAUCAUCGAGAAUUCCUACUCCCAGCAGGAAGAGACCAAAUCAAAUUUCAGAGACAGCAAAUAUAGACUUCUUAUGAGUCAGGUGGCCUACUUCCUGAACUACCAGCUGAAGACAUACAGUAAGUUGUAUAGGUUGACCACCAUGAAACUGAUGAAUGAUGUCCUCUCUUGUCUUGA
This 1235-nucleotide long non-coding RNA is filed under the name Aotus nancymaae (Ma's night monkey). Its description in RNAcentral is "lncRNA (ENSANAG00000038751.1)". Lineage: Eukaryota; Metazoa; Chordata; Mammalia; Primates; Aotidae. The record is from RNAcentral.